GACGAACGCUGGCGGCGUGCUUAGCACACGCAAGUCGAACGGAAAGGCCCUGCGUUUGUGGGGUGCUCGAGUGGCGAACGGGUGAGUAACACGUGAGUAACCUGCCCUUGACUUUGGGAUAACUUCAGGAAACUGGGGCUAAUACCGGAUAGGAUCUCCUGCUGCAUUGUGGGGGUGGGAAAGUUUCGGCGGUUGGGGAUGGACUCGCGGCUUAUCAGCUUGUUGGUGGGGUAGUGGCUUACCAAGGCUUUGACGGGUAGCCGGCCUGAGAGGGUGACCGGCCACAUUGGGACUGAGAUACGGCCCAGACUCCUGCGGGAGGCAGCAGUGGGGAAUAUUGCACAAUGGGCGGAAGCCUGAUGCAGCAACGCCGCGUGCGGGAUGACGGCCUUCGGGUUGUAAACCGCUUUCGCCUGUGACGAAGCGUGAGUGACGGUAAUGGGUAAAGAAGCACCGGCUAACUACGUG
RNAcentral lists this ribosomal RNA (468 nucleotides) under uncultured bacterium. RNAcentral's name for it is "partial 16S ribosomal RNA". It matches the Rfam family "Bacterial small subunit ribosomal RNA", at positions 28 to 507 of the family's 1533-position model. The record is from RNAcentral.